Molecule: non-coding RNA, 26 nt
Filed under: Bacillus methanolicus MGA3
Lineage: Bacteria; Bacillati; Bacillota; Bacilli; Caryophanales; Bacillaceae
Source: RNAcentral
AAAAAAAAAAAAAAAAAAAAGAAGAC